RNAcentral lists this ribosomal RNA (428 nucleotides) under uncultured bacterium. RNAcentral's name for it is "bacterial SSU rRNA". It matches the Rfam family "Bacterial small subunit ribosomal RNA", at positions 355 to 776 of the family's 1533-position model. The record is from RNAcentral.
UGGGGAAUCUUGCGCAAUGGGCGAAAGCCUGACGCAGCGACGCCGCGUGAGCGAUGAAGGCCUUCGGGUUGUAAAGCUCUGUGGGGAGGGACGAAUAAGUGCAGGCUAAUAUCCUGCAUGAUGACGGUACCUCCUUAGCAAGCACCGGCUAACUCUGUGCCAGCAGCCGCGGUAAGACAGAGGGUGCAAACGUUGUUCGGAAUCACUGGGCGUAAAGCGCGUGUAGGCGGCGAAGUGUGUCGGGUGUGAAAGCCCACGGCUCAACCGUGGAAGUGCAUUCGAAACUGCUUUGCUAGAGUCCUGGAGAGGAAGGUGGAAUACUCGGUGUAGAGGUGAAAUUCGUAGAUAUCGAGUGGAACACCGGUGGCGAAGGCGGCCUUCUGGAAAGUGACUGACGCUGAGACGCGAAAGCGUGGGGAGCAAACAGG